Molecule: ribosomal RNA, 749 nt
Filed under: uncultured Alphaproteobacteria bacterium
Lineage: Bacteria; Pseudomonadati; Pseudomonadota; Alphaproteobacteria
Description: bacterial SSU rRNA
Rfam family: Bacterial small subunit ribosomal RNA
Source: RNAcentral
CCGCGGGAUUAGAGUUUGAUCCUGGCUCAGAGCGAACGCUGGCGGCAGGCUUAACACAUGCAAGUCGAGCGGGCGUAGCAAUACGUCAGCGGCAGACGGGUGAGUAACGCGUGGGAACGUACCUUUUGGUUCGGAACAACCCAGGGAAACUUGGGCUAAUACCGGAUAAGCCCUUACGGGGAAAGAUUUAUCGCCGAAAGGUCGGCCCGCGUCUGAUUAGCUAGUUGGUGAGGUAAUGGCUCACCAAGGCGACGAUCAGUAGCUGGUCUGAGAGGAUGAUCAGCCACAUUGGGACUGAGACACGGCCCAAACUCCUACGGGAGGCAGCAGUGGGGAAUAUUGGACAAUGGGCGCAAGCCUGAUCCAGCCAUGCCGCGUGAGUGAUGAAGGCCCUAGGGUUGUAAAGCUCUUUUGUGCGGGAAGAUAAUGACGGUACCGCAAGAAUAAGCCCCGGCUAACUUCGUGCCAGCAGCCGCGGUAAUACGAAGGGGGCUAGCGUUGCUCGGAAUCACUGGGCGUAAAGGGUGCGUAGGCGGGUCUUUAAGUCAGGGGUGAAAUCCUGGAGCUCAACUCCAGAACUGCCUUUGAUACUGAAGAUCUUGAGUUCGGGAGAGGUGAGUGGAACUGCGAGUGUAGAGGUGAAAUUCGUAGAUAUUCGCAAGAACACCAGUGGCGAAGGCGGCUCACUGGCCCGAUACUGACGCUGAAGCACGAAAGCGUGGGGAGCAAACAGGAUUAGAUACCCUGGU